RNAcentral lists this ribosomal RNA (494 nucleotides) under uncultured bacterium. RNAcentral describes it as "partial 16S ribosomal RNA". It matches the Rfam family "Bacterial small subunit ribosomal RNA", at positions 29 to 507 of the family's 1533-position model. The record is from RNAcentral.
ACGAACGCUGGCGGCGUGCCUAAUACAUGCAAGUAGAACGCUGAAGGCGGAGCUUGCUUCUCUGGAUGAGUUGCGAACGGGUGAGUAACGCGUAGGUAACCUGCCUGGUAGCGGGGGAUAACUAUUGGAAACGAUAGCUAAUACCGCAUAAUAGUAGAUGUUGCAUGACAUUUGCUUAAAAGGUGCAAUUGCAUCACUACCAGAUGGACCUGCGUUGUAUUAGCUAGUUGGUGGGGUAACGGCUCACCAAGGCGACGAUACCUAGCCGACCUGGGAGGGUGAUCGGCCACCCUGGGACUGAGACACGGCCCAGACUCAUACGGGAGGCAGCAGUAGGGAAUCUUCGGCAAGGGACGGAAGUCUGACCGAGCAACGCCGCGGGAGGGAAGAAGGUUGUCGGAUCGUAAAGCUCUGUUGUAAGAGAAGAACGAGUGUGAGAGUGGAAAGUUCACAGUGUGACGGUAUCUUACCAGAAAGGGACGGCUAACUACGUG